This 592-nucleotide long non-coding RNA is filed under the name Homo sapiens (human). RNAcentral describes it as "HSALNT0010513". Lineage: Eukaryota; Metazoa; Chordata; Mammalia; Primates; Hominidae. The record is from RNAcentral.
AUAGCUUGAUAUAUUUAUUUCUUUUAUCUAUCUUACUAUUUCAAUAUAAUUAUGAUCAGAAUGUAUUAUAACGUAUCUUGUUUUACCAUUAAUUUUAAAUUCAGGUGCUGUAUUGUAUAGAUUAACCUUUGAAUACCACAUAAAUAUAUGUUAACCCUUGAAUGUGACAGAAGCCAGUCCCCAUCUGUGAUAUUUCAAAUGACAGACUAGAAUCACUUUUCAUCCCCACUGCAGAAGAUAGCUAUCAUAUUUAUUUCAACAAUGGGAACUUGUUUUCUUAUUUUGAGGGCCAGCCACAUUCAAUUAUAGAUCUUUCAUCAGUAGCCAUACCUUUACUACAACCUUGGUUUUUCUUAUCACAAAUUAUUGAAUAAUACCUGUAAUAGUUUAGGCAAACGACAACUGUAAUAAUAAAUAAAAUUUACAGAAUUGAUUCUUCAUACUGCAUGGUUCUUAGAUUAGACCAGAAGUCAAGGUGAACAAAGAGUGCAUAUAAUCUAAUAAAUUAUUGAUUUAUUUCUUGUUAAAAUUUUAGAUAAGAAAAAGAAAAAAAUACUUAUAAUUCCCUACAUUAAAAAUUCAUCAUAUGCCC